This 410-nucleotide ribosomal RNA is filed under the name uncultured Gammaproteobacteria bacterium. RNAcentral describes it as "bacterial SSU rRNA". It matches the Rfam family "Bacterial small subunit ribosomal RNA", at positions 370 to 779 of the family's 1533-position model. The record is from RNAcentral. Lineage: Bacteria; Pseudomonadati; Pseudomonadota; Gammaproteobacteria.
AAUGGGGGCAACCCUGAACCAGCCAUGCCGCGUGGAGGAAGACGGUUUAGUAAUUGUAAACUCCUUUUAUGUAAGACUAAUAAGGUACUAUAGGUACCGAUGCAGGUACUACAUGAAUAAGCACCGGCUAACUACGUGCCAGCAGCCGCGGUAAUACGUAGGGUGCAAGCGUUGUCCGGAUUUAUUGGGUUUAAAGGGUGCGCAGGCGGCUCAUUAAGUUAGUGGUGAAAUCUUCCGGCUCAACCGGAUUCCCGCCAUUGAUACUGAUGAGCUUGAGUGUAGUCGAGGAAGUUAGAAUGCGUGGUGUAGCGGUGAAAUGCAUAGAUAUCACGCAGAAUACCAAUUGCGAAGGCAGACUUCUAGAGUACAACUGACGCUGAGGCACGAAAGCGUGGGUAGCGAACAGGAUU